GGGGAAAAGUUGAAGCUUUAUUGAAAGAUUUUGAGGAGAAGUGUGCAACUCCAGUGGAAAAAUUAAAGCAGGUAGCUGAUGCUAUGACUGUAGAGAUGCAAGCUGGACUUGCUUCUGAAGGUGGGAGUAAGCUCAAGAUGCUUAUUAGCUAUGUUGAUAACCUUCCUACUGGGGAUGAAAAAGGUCUGUUUUAUGCAUUGGAUCUAGG
Molecule: unclassified non-coding RNA, 208 nt
Filed under: Hevea brasiliensis (rubber tree)
Lineage: Eukaryota; Viridiplantae; Streptophyta; Magnoliopsida; Malpighiales; Euphorbiaceae
Source: RNAcentral